This 1036-nucleotide long non-coding RNA is filed under the name Amborella trichopoda. RNAcentral's name for it is "long non-coding RNA (ATRI_LNC003825)". The record is from RNAcentral. Lineage: Eukaryota; Viridiplantae; Streptophyta; Magnoliopsida; Amborellales; Amborellaceae.
AAACUUUCUUCUUUUCCAAUGAAGUUUUAGGGUGCACUUUACUUGUACGUUACAAAGGUGACCAAACUUUUUCCUUAAAAGAUAAUAAAUAUAGUAGGGAGAGAGGCUACACUCCUUUAACGUAGCCCUCCAAUUUUAGUUAGAGAGAGAGAGAGAUGUGCAACUUUACUGAGGAGAGGCUGGACUGGUAGGGAUGAGAGGCUAGACUUCCAAUUUUAGUAGAGAGAGAGGCUAGACCUCUUUUUCUAUAUCAAGAGUCUAGACCUAUCACAACCCGGUGGCUACAGAAAUUUAAUUUUGUUUUUGUUAUUUUUAUUUUUAGAGAUAUGGGUAGUUUUUUAAUGAGAAAAUUAUAAAAGCUCUUUAAAAUAGACUAUCUAUGCAACUUACCCCAUUUCAAUGUUUUCUCUCACUUUUUUCUCCAAAACAACAUUUCUUUUCAAAAAACCCCCAAGGUAAAAAGUUGUAGUUUUUUUGGACAGAAAUACCCUUCCCGUACAAACCAAAUCAAUUCGCGGGUCUCAAGUAGCGUAUUACCGGAGCACAUUCUCAUAAUGCCGGAGCGCUGUGGCUUAGACAUGCAUUACCAUAGCGCACAUUCAGAAUGCCGGAGCGCGGUCCUCCAUUGCCAGAGCGUUGUGGCUCCAGAGACUUCAUUGCCAGAGCGCAGUCCUCCAUUGCUAGAGCGCUGUGGCUCCAGAGACUUCAUUACCGGAGCGGAAUGUCGGAGCGCGUCUUUGCACUACCAGAGCGAGUUCUCAUAAUGCCGGAGUGUUGCGGCUCAGACCUGCAUUGCCGGAGCGCAUAUUCAGGAGUGUGUGUUUGUACUGCCAGAGCGCGCGUGAAAACAUGAGAGAGAAGGCCGUUUGAAAACAAAUAAGGGCAGUUUAGUCUUAUUUCAUGCUACUUUUGGAUUGGGGGGGUUAUUUGCGAUGAAAGAUUGUUUGGGGGAAAAAAGUGAGAGAAAAUAUUGGGGUGGGUGUAAGUUGCAUAGAUAGUCCAUUUUAGGGGUUUUUUUGUAAUUUUUUAUUUUUUC